This is a long non-coding RNA of Chenopodium quinoa (quinoa), 810 nucleotides long. RefSeq lists it as uncharacterized. The record is from RefSeq and is a predicted model, not a curated record. The transcript has 3 exons. NCBI's taxonomy places the organism in Eukaryota, Viridiplantae, Streptophyta, Magnoliopsida, Caryophyllales, Amaranthaceae.
AUUAAGGCCGGUUACUAUUAUUAGCGCCCACCACUCACACUUCACUUGUAUUUUUCUUUUUUUAAUUUAAAAAAAAAAAUUAGUUUUUUUUUUUUUUUUUUUUUUUUUUUUUUGAGGAAAAAUUAGUAUUUUACUUAUCCCCAAUUCCCAAUUUUACUGAAGGAAAACAUUGAAGAACCCUAACUUCUUACUGACUUCCUCUCCCCUCACUCUCAUUCAAGGACCGGCGCUGCUCUCAGAUCGACGUUGGCCGAACUCCGACGACGGCCGACCAGUGUUCGUCUGCUUUCCUUUAGCCUUCUCUGAGUUCUCUCUCUUCGACAAAGCAAAACUCCAGUCUUCAGUUUUGUAGCCUGAUGAACAGAGUUUUGCAAAGGUGUAUUUCUGCCACCAGACCAUCAAUGUUAAAAUGAGAUGUGAUGGACAUGACAUGUCAAUUUGAGUUCAAGAGAUUAGUUGAUCAAGGUGGUGCAUGCUUUCUAGUAAGUUUCCGAGCAAUGGUCAACUCUGAUUUUCCGUGCACGUAAAAGUUAAUACGGAGAGACAAAACAAUGUGAACAACAGACAGAGUUAUGUGAGAGACAAUAUUGGGCCUUGUGAGAGACAUGGUUGUAAUUUAUAAGUACAUCAUUUUCUUGUAGAGCUGAUGAUAUAUAUGUAGAUUUUAAUUAAAUUGAGCCUUACAUUGUUUAGGAUAUAUAAUCUUUGUAUUUAUCAUAAAAGUGAAUUAAUAUUGUAUAAUGUUUCACAUAAUAAAAAAAAAUGUAGCGUAUUAGUGGGGUGAAUACAAGUUAUGUGAAAUUAUUUGGA